CAAGAAAUAACAAUACAAGGCAGUUAAAAUGCUUUGUAAUUGGAAUGAUAGAAAUUUAAAUACUUUUUAAAGUAUCAAUUGGAGGGCAAGUCUGGUGCCAGCAGCCGCGGUAAUUCCAGCUCCAAUAGCGUAUAUUAAAAUUGUUGCAGUUAAAAAGCUCGUAGUUGAAUUUUUGCUAAAAAUAACCGGUCUGCUUUUAUUAAUAAAAGUGGUAUCUUGGUGUGUUCUUAGCAAUAAUGUCCUUUGAAAUGUUUUUUACUUUAUUGUAAGAAGCAAUUUUCAGGAUUUUUACUUUGAGAAAAUUAGAGUGUUUCAAGCAGGCUAACGUUUUGAAUACUGCAGCAUGGAAUAAUAAAAUAGGAUUUUAGUUCUACGUUAUUGGUUUUAAGAACUAAAUUAAUGAUUGAUAGGAGCAGUUGGGGGCAUUUGUAUUUAACUGUCAGAGGUGAAAUUCUUAGAUUUGUUAAAGACACACUACUGCGAAAGCAUUUGCCAAAGAUGUUUUCAUUAAUCAAGAACGAAAGUUAGGGGAUCGAAG
RNAcentral lists this ribosomal RNA (538 nucleotides) under Hepatozoon sp. RNAcentral's name for it is "SSU rRNA". It matches the Rfam family "Eukaryotic small subunit ribosomal RNA", at positions 471 to 1003 of the family's 1831-position model. The record is from RNAcentral. Lineage: Eukaryota; Apicomplexa; Hepatozoidae.